Molecule: long non-coding RNA, 127 nt
Organism: Amblyraja radiata (thorny skate)
Lineage: Eukaryota; Metazoa; Chordata; Chondrichthyes; Rajiformes; Rajidae
Exons: 3
Source: RefSeq, a predicted model, not a curated record
GGAGAAGGCAGGAGAAUGGGGUUGAGAGAGAAAGAUAGAUCAGACAUGAUUGAAUGGGGUAGUAGACUUGAUGGGCCGAAUGGCCUAAUUCUGUUCAUAGAACAUAUGAACUUAUAAACUCAUGAAC